RNAcentral lists this ribosomal RNA (497 nucleotides) under uncultured bacterium. Its description in RNAcentral is "partial 16S ribosomal RNA". It matches the Rfam family "Bacterial small subunit ribosomal RNA", at positions 28 to 507 of the family's 1533-position model. The record is from RNAcentral.
GAUGAACGCUGGCGGCGUGCCUAAUACAUGCAAGUCGAGCGAACGGAUAAGGAGCUUGCUCCUUUGACGUUAGCGGCGGACGGGUGAGUAACACGUGGGUAACCUACCUAUAAGACUGGGAUAACUUCGGGAAACCGGAGCCAAUACCGGAUAAUAUUUCGAACCGCAUGGUUCGAUAGUGGAAGAUGGUUUUGCUAUCACUUAUAGAUGGACCCGCGCCGUAUUAGCUAGUUGGUAAGGUAACGGCUUACCAAGGCGACGAUACGUAGCCGACCUGAGAGGGUGAUCGGCCACACUGGAACUGAGACACGGUCCAGACUCCUACGGGAGGCAGCAGUAGGGAAUCUUCCGCAAUGGGCGAAAGCCUGACGGAGCAACGCCGCGUGAGUGAUGAAGGUCUUCGGAUCGUAAAACUCUGUUAUUAGGGAAGAACAUACGUGUAAGUAACUGUGCACGUCUUGACGGUACCUAAUCAGAAAGCCACGGCUAACUACGUG